GCAAUUUGGCGCAGUGGAAGCGCGCCGGGCUCAUAACCCGGAGGGUAAGCACGAGCUUCGACUCCAGACAAAGAAACG
Non-coding RNA from Neonectria punicea, 78 nucleotides. The record is from the annotation of a GenBank genome assembly. NCBI's taxonomy places the organism in Eukaryota, Fungi, Ascomycota, Sordariomycetes, Hypocreales, Nectriaceae.